This 1168-nucleotide long non-coding RNA is filed under the name Oncorhynchus kisutch (coho salmon). RNAcentral's name for it is "lncRNA (ENSOKIG00005046915.1)". The record is from RNAcentral. Lineage: Eukaryota; Metazoa; Chordata; Actinopteri; Salmoniformes; Salmonidae.
AUGCCUCCGAUCUCCCACUACUGUCACCCAGGACACGAUGCUUCUGAUCUCCCACUACUGUCACCCAGGACACGAUGCCUCCGAUCUCCCACUACUGUCACCCAGGACACGAUGCCUCCGAUCUCCCACUACUGUCACCCAGGACACGAUGCCUCCGAUCUCCCACUACUGUCACCCAGGACACGAUGCCUCCGAUCUCCCACUACUGUCACCCAGGACACGGUGCCUCCGAUCUCCCACUACUGUCACCCAGGACACGAUGCUUCCGAUCUCCCACUACUGUCACCCCAGGACAAGAUGCUUCCGAUCUCCCACUACUGUCACCCCAGGACAAGAUGCUUCCGAUCUUCCACUACUGUCACCCAGGACACGGGGAGUACCGAGACAGUAGGCUGCAGAAUGCACACGGACACAAACCAACCACAGGACCACACUGUCCGUGAUGGACGUCCUUCUCUGUGUCCUCGUUUCCUGGUUCACAUGAAGGCCUGUCCUGCAGACCUCAGAACCCCACAUCUCCUAUCCAAUAACCCCAGGCCACGUCCUCCUCGCCAGGAAUUGACACAACAAAGACACGCCCUUGGCGGCCUGAAGACGCAUUCAUGUGCAGACUCCAGGAGCCUGCAGCACUGCAGCACCACCAGAGGGAGGCGCUUAGCUGUUGUUGUUCCCUGUGUACCAGUGCCAGUCUCCCCCUCUCCCAGCAGAGCCUCCCCUGAGCUCUCAGUCUGUCCAAGUCCAACAUCCUCUACUGUCACUGACUCUGGGCAGCAGGGGACUGGAUACAACCCUGCUCCAUCAUCAGCCCUACCUCAUGGCCAUACUCAGAAAGGAGAGAAGGAAACAGAGGAUGGUGUUAAAGAGAUGGAUGAAGGCACUUCGGCUUCCUCAGGGGCCUUCCGCCCUCCAAGGCCAGACCAGGAGCCCAAUUCUGGUCCUGAGGACAUAGACCCCUCAGUUUCUCCAAUCCCUAGUGUCUGUGAGGGUUCUCUCUCAGACUUUAGCCGCCCACCAUCCAGCCAGUUCAGCCGAAGCACAGACCUGGGUAGUGGCCGGAGCAGUCCUCUAUGUGGUAUUGUACCUACGCUGCUUUGAAACAAUUGAAGUGAAAUGUAUUGAAAGCUGUUGCAUUCCCCAUGGGCUAUUAGUUGUUUCAUAAAUGUAGAAA